UACGAAGGGGGCGAGCGUUGUUCGGAUUUACUGGGCGUAAAGGGCGCGCAGGCGGCGCAUUUUGUCAGGCGUGAAAGCCCCGGGCUCAACCUGGGAAUUGCGGUUGAAACUGGCGAACUAGAAUCUGGCAGAGGGGGGUGGAAUUCCACGUGUAGCAGUGAAAUGCGUAGAGAUGUGGAGGAACACCGAUGGCGAAGGCAGCCCCCUGGGCUGAGAUUGACGCUCAGGCACGAAAGCGUGGGGAGCAAACAGG
RNAcentral lists this ribosomal RNA (253 nucleotides) under uncultured bacterium. RNAcentral describes it as "partial 16S ribosomal RNA". It matches the Rfam family "Bacterial small subunit ribosomal RNA", at positions 524 to 776 of the family's 1533-position model. The record is from RNAcentral.